This 320-nucleotide long non-coding RNA is filed under the name Lathyrus oleraceus (garden pea). RNAcentral describes it as "Pisum sativum (pea) long non-coding RNA (PSAT_LNC038045)". Lineage: Eukaryota; Viridiplantae; Streptophyta; Magnoliopsida; Fabales; Fabaceae. The record is from RNAcentral.
AACAUCCCUUCCUCACUCCAAACUCCCUCCACGAACCUUCACUGACGCACAACCUCUUCAUCACACCUACCCUCUUCUUCCUCAAACUCCACAACCACCGUCGACCGCUUCUUCUUCUUCUUCGUCGCGAAGCACAAACCUCCACUGACGGAAAACACUCCUCUGGCAUCUCCGUGAAACACCACCAUCAAAUCUGUCAUCCACAUCGCAAAAUCGUUCACCCUUUUUCACCUCUUUCGUCAACACCUCAAAAUCCCUUGCACCCCCAACUGAAAACCAUUUCGACCUCCAUAAAUCGCUGUCGCGAAAUCCCGAUCCAC